RNAcentral lists this ribosomal RNA (254 nucleotides) under uncultured bacterium. Its description in RNAcentral is "partial 16S ribosomal RNA". It matches the Rfam family "Bacterial small subunit ribosomal RNA", at positions 524 to 776 of the family's 1533-position model. The record is from RNAcentral.
UACGGGGGGAGCAAGCGUUGUUCGGAUUUACUGGGCGUAAAGGGCGCGUAGGCGGCCACCGCAAGUCGACUGUGAAAUCUCCGGGCUUAACCCGGAAAGGUCAGCCGAUACUGCGGGGCUAGAGUGCAGAAGGGGCAACUGGAAUUCUCGGUGUAGCGGUGAAAUGCGUAGAUAUCGAGAGGAACACCUGCGGCGAAGGCGGGUAGCUGGGCCGACACUGACGCUGAGGCGCGAAAGCCAGGGGAGCGAACGGG